CCUGCCCUCUAGAUGGGGACAACAUCCCGAAAGGGGUGCUAAUACCGAAUGUGACAGCAAUCUCGCAUGAGGAUGCUGUGAAAGAUGGCCUCUAUUUAUAAGCUAUCGCUAGAGGAUGGGCCUGCGUCUGAUUAGCUAGUUGGUGGGGUAACGGCCUACCAAGGCGAUGAUCAGUAGCCGGUCUGAGAGGAUGAACGGCCACAUUGGGACUGAGACACGGCCCAGACUCCUACGGGAGGCAGCAGUGGGGAAUCUUCCGCAAUGGGCGAAAGCCUGACGGAGCAAUGCCGCGUGAGUGACGAAGGAAUUCGUUCCGUAAAGCUCUUUUGUUUAUGAC
This 337-nucleotide ribosomal RNA is filed under the name uncultured bacterium. Its description in RNAcentral is "bacterial SSU rRNA". It matches the Rfam family "Bacterial small subunit ribosomal RNA", at positions 125 to 446 of the family's 1533-position model. The record is from RNAcentral.